This 253-nucleotide ribosomal RNA is filed under the name uncultured bacterium. RNAcentral describes it as "partial 16S ribosomal RNA". It matches the Rfam family "Bacterial small subunit ribosomal RNA", at positions 524 to 776 of the family's 1533-position model. The record is from RNAcentral.
UACGGAGGGGGUUAGCGUUGUUCGGAAUGACUGGGCGUAAAGCGCGCGUAGGCGGAUCAUCAAGUCGGGGGUGAAAUCCCGGGGCUCAACCCCGGAAUGGCCUUCGAGACUGGUGGUCUUGAGUUCGAGAGAGGUGAGUGGAAUUCCGAGUGUAGAGGCGAAAUUCGUAGAUAUUCGGAGGAACACCAGUGGCGAAGGCGGCUCACUGGCUCGACACUGACGCUGAGGUGCGAAAGCGUGGGGAGCAAACCGG